This 313-nucleotide unclassified non-coding RNA is filed under the name plant metagenome. RNAcentral's name for it is "partial contains 5.8S ribosomal RNA, internal transcribed spacer 2, and large subunit ribosomal RNA". The stretch from base 1 to 105 matches the Rfam family "5.8S ribosomal RNA", at positions 50 to 154 of the family's 154-position model. The record is from RNAcentral.
GAAAUGCGAUAAGUAAUGUGAAUUGCAGAAUUCCGUGAAUCAUCGAAUCUUUGAACGCACAUUGCGCCCUCUGGCAUUCCGGGGGGCAUGCCUGUCCGAGCGUCAUUACGCACCCUCAAGCCCGGCUUGUGUGAUGGGCCCCGGCGUCUCGUUCGCGAGACGGGCCCGAAAGGCAGCGGCGGCGUCGACCCGAUGAGCCCGAGCGUAUGGGGACUUCUGUCACACGUUCGCGGUGCGGACCGGCGCCUGCUUUGACUUUUCUGAUUAUCCAUGUUGACCUCGGAUCAGGUAGGGAUACCCGCUGAACUUAAGC